GGAGAAAGAAAAAAAAAACAGGAGAGGAGAAGAGAGAAAAGGGAGAGGAGAAAGGAGAGAAGAGGGGCUGCCGGCCAGGGGGUCGUCGGCCGGUCGUCGGACGGUACCGGACCCUCGCCGGUGCUGGCGCCGGCCACCGUACACGGUGGCCGGAAACUAAAAAAGGUUAGAUUUUUUCCCUUUUUUAUAUUUUUUUUGUAUUAUAUUUUCGUAUAGUUAGUGUUUAUUUAAUAUGCUUGUGCAAAAAAACAGAUCAAAAACAGUAACUAAAAUGAAAUAGAAUCACUUAGGAUCUUUACCACUUUCGAUUCUCUGAUCUUUGGUGUUCGUUUUUUCUGUGUUGAUACCUGUUUUGGAUUGGUUUUCUCGCUCUAUCUACUGUUUCUUUUCUUUUGAAAUAUAUCUAUGUAUUGUCAAAAACUCCCACCCCUUACAAAGUAUUUCCCUUUGGUUUUUAUAACCAUUUGUCAAUAUUAAUCUAAUAUUGUUGUCUUUUCGUGUGUUUCUUGCAGGGCAUGGGCGAACGGCGGUGGCAGAGGCAUGGUGGAGCAGGUGGCCAGUGCUGGUGUUAGAAGGUUGGUGGGCAAGUGGGAGAGGCUGCGGCGCAAGUGGGGAGGCAAGUGGAAUUAGGGUUUCCUCUCUGCUGAUUUGUUUUGGGCUGCUGGGCUAAGUUAAUUUAGGGUAUUGGGCUAGUAGUACUUGGGUUAGGCUAAUAGGGCUGAAAAUAUUGUAAACAGGCUUGGGUUAGUAAGGGUUUGAAAUGUAUUUGGGUUUGGCAAAAUUGGGUAUGUACAAUAGUUUAUUUGGCUUUUUAAUUCUACAAAAAAUCAUUUUAGUCCUCCAUUUAAAUCACUCCAAAAUACAUGGAAAAGCUAAUAUGUGUUAACUUUGCUGAUAUGGCAUACAUGAGACAAUCCACAUAUAUGACACAU
RNAcentral lists this long non-coding RNA (932 nucleotides) under Gossypium barbadense (sea-island cotton). RNAcentral describes it as "long non-coding RNA (GBAR_LNC012084)". The record is from RNAcentral. Lineage: Eukaryota; Viridiplantae; Streptophyta; Magnoliopsida; Malvales; Malvaceae.